RNAcentral lists this transfer RNA (66 nucleotides) under Tettigarcta crinita (hairy cicada). RNAcentral's name for it is "tRNA-Arg". The record is from RNAcentral. Lineage: Eukaryota; Metazoa; Arthropoda; Insecta; Hemiptera; Tettigarctidae.
AAGUAGGAAGUAAUAUAUUACACUUAGUUUCGACCUAAUAGAAGAAAUUUAAACUUUCCUUACUUU